CCUACGGGAGGCAGCAGUGAGGAAUAUUGGUCAAUGGACGAGAGUCUGAACCAGCCAAGUAGCGUGAAGGAUGACUGCCCUAUGGGUUGUAAACUUCUUUUAUAUGGGAAUAAAAUGUUCCACGUGUGGGAUUUUGUAUGUACCCUAUGAAUAAGGAUCGGCUAACUCCGUGCCAGCAGCCGCGGUAAUACGGAGGAUCCGAGCGUUAUCCGGAUUUAUUGGGUUUAAAGGGAGCGUAGGUGGAUUGUUAAGUCAGUUGUGAAAGUUUGCGGCUCAACCGUAAAAUUGCAGUUGAAACUGGCAGUCUUGAGUACAGUAGAGGUGGGUGGAAUUCGUGGUGGAGCGGUGAAAUGCUGAGAUAUCACGAAGAACUCCGAUUGCGAAGGCAGUUCACUGGACUGCAACUGACACUGAGGCUCGAAAGUGUGGGUAUCAAACAGGAUUAGAUACCCGGGUAGUC
This 460-nucleotide ribosomal RNA is filed under the name uncultured bacterium. RNAcentral describes it as "partial 16S ribosomal RNA". It matches the Rfam family "Bacterial small subunit ribosomal RNA", at positions 338 to 795 of the family's 1533-position model. The record is from RNAcentral.